Long non-coding RNA from Schistocerca cancellata (South American locust), 467 nucleotides. RefSeq lists it as uncharacterized. Lineage: Eukaryota; Metazoa; Arthropoda; Insecta; Orthoptera; Acrididae. The transcript has 2 exons. The record is from RefSeq and is a predicted model, not a curated record.
CAUUGCUGAAAAUAGUAACUCAGAUGCAAGUGAAACAGGAACAUACUUGGACUGAAUGGGCUGUUCCAAGAGGAAGUGCAUGUAUGUGUCCAUACUGUGAUCACUGUGCCAAACUUUCACAUCUAACAGUCUGAAUGUACUCUGUUGAAACACCAGGAAACAAAAUAUGCAGUACAGAACCUGUAAUUAUGCCAGCCAGUUUCCUGAUUGCAUUGUAUCCCAACAAAUUAUUGUAUGCAUGUCUGCUAACAGCACUUCUUAUGCUAGAAGGGUGUUUUCAUCAUACAGCAAGCAUCUUUUUGUGGAGGUACUGCUGCUUAUUAGAAAUGUGCUAUUAUUUACAUCAACUGGAAAUGGCUGAUAAACAAAGAACAUUUAGUGCUACAUAAGCAAUUGUCAAUGUUUAAGUGAAUUGUACAGAAAUUGUAAAGAUUAUUGUUGAAGAAAAUAAAUUUGUGUUUAGUGUA